Nematostella vectensis (starlet sea anemone) is the source of this 861-nucleotide long non-coding RNA. RefSeq lists it as uncharacterized. NCBI's taxonomy places the organism in Eukaryota, Metazoa, Cnidaria, Anthozoa, Actiniaria, Edwardsiidae. The record is from RefSeq and is a predicted model, not a curated record. The transcript is spliced from 2 exons.
UCGAGCGAUUUGUAGCCGCCAUCUUGGAUUUUGAGAGAAAUUUAAAAACGGGUUUUCAUUUUUGCUCUAAAUCCAAGAUGGCGGCAACAAAAAACACCGGGUAAACGCCUACAUUACAGGCUAAAAACCUGUGAGAUUCACACAUUUCUCACUCUCCAGUAGAGACUAAACUAAGGUGAAACAUUCUCUUCAGGAACUACAAGCACUUAACGGAAAGGUAGAAAAACUCAAAGGUCUUCUUGUGAAAGCUCUUCUGGAACAGGAACCUAAGGUGCAGUCAAGAAGUGGCUCCGGGACAACAUGUGUCCCAUACCAGAGCCUUGAAAAUGCUUCAGGCUGCUUGCAAGAUGUGGGGAGUCAACAAAGUGAUAUAAGUGUGAUGAACAUCUGUGAUUCUACGGUAAAGGAACAAGCAAAGCAAGCCUUUGGGAAUUGUAUCUCACUGGGCGAUAUUAAAGAAGAGGCCGAAAUGUUUGAUUUGCAGAGUAUUGUCGAGCAGGCAUCAAUGGAAACGCAGCAACCAAGUAGUGAUAUGUACUUAGCCGGUCAUACAAAAGCACAUGAAAUACAGUUACAAUGUAUAAAACUCGGCGCGUACCCAGAAUAGGCUGAGGGGCGGGGGUGGGUGGGGGGUGCGCAGUCAUAAGUAUCAUAAAAAGCGUAGGAUUUGAAGAUUCCUUUAUAUGAAAUGGCCCACUUUUUGGCGGCCAAAGGGGGAGGGGUGCACCUUGUCUAGCUCCUUACGUAGUCUGGGAAUUGUCAACCAGCAAUUAUCCUUAGAGGGCCUCAAUGGGGAUAACCGUUAUACCGUUAGCUGGAAAAUGGCAAAAAUAUAAGCGUUUAGCGUGAAUUUGAGAAAAA